RNAcentral lists this ribosomal RNA (492 nucleotides) under uncultured bacterium. Its description in RNAcentral is "partial 16S ribosomal RNA". It matches the Rfam family "Bacterial small subunit ribosomal RNA", at positions 28 to 507 of the family's 1533-position model. The record is from RNAcentral.
GAUGAACGCUAGCUACAGGCUUAACACAUGCAAGUCGAGGUGAAACGGCAUCGAAAGCUUGCUUUUGAUGGGCGUCGACCGGCGCACGGGUGAGUAACGCGUAUCCAACCUGCCCAUCACUUGGGAAUAACCUUGCGAAAGUAAGACUAAUGCCCAAUGACAUCCCACGAAGGCAUCCGAAUGGGAUUAAAGAUUUAUCGGUGAUGGAUGGGGAUGCGUCUGAUUAGCUUGUUGGCGGGGUGACGGCCCACCAAGGCAACGAUCAGUAGGGGUUCUGAGAGGAAGGUCCCCCACAUUGGAACUGAGACACGGUCCAAACUCCUACGGGAGGCAGCAGUGAGGAAUAUUGGUCAAUGGGCGAGAGCCUGAACCAGCCAAGUAGCGUGCAGGAUGACGGCCCUAUGGGUUGUAAACUGCUUUUAUAAGGGAAUAAAGUGGGUCACGUGUGACUUUUUGCAUGUACCUUAUGAAUAAGGACCGGCUAAUUCCGUG